RNAcentral lists this ribosomal RNA (774 nucleotides) under uncultured Neocallimastigales. RNAcentral's name for it is "partial large subunit ribosomal RNA". It matches the Rfam family "Eukaryotic large subunit ribosomal RNA", at positions 24 to 649 of the family's 3401-position model. Lineage: Eukaryota; Fungi; Neocallimastigomycota; Neocallimastigomycetes; Neocallimastigales. The record is from RNAcentral.
UAUGUGAUCGUCUCUCGCAUAUCAAUAAGCGGAGGAAAAGAAACUAACAAGGAUUCCCCUAGUAACGGCGAGUGAAGCGGGAAGAGCUCAAAUUUGAAAUCUUAAAGGGUUUCCCUUUACGAAUUGUAGUUUAAAGAAGUGUUUUCUGUUGAGGUUUUGGUAAAAGUUCUUUGGAAUAGGACAUCAUAGAGGGUGAGAAUCCCGUAUUUGACCUUUACUUUCAACUUUGUGAUACACUUUCAAAGAGUCGGAUUGUUUGGGAAUGCAGUCCAAAAUGGGUGGUAAAUUUCAUCUAAAGCUAAAUAUUGGCGAGAGACCGAUAGCGAACAAGUACCGUGAGGGAAAGAUGAAAAGAACUUUGAAAAGAGAGUUAAACAGUACGUGAAAUUGUCAAAAGGGAAGCGUUUGACACCAGUGUUGUUUUUCUGAAAAUCAAUUAAAGAACUGUUUAUGCUAAGUUGUUUAGACUUUAUCAGCUAACUGUUUAGUUUUGAGCUUUUCUUUAAUGCACUUUUCAGUUAACAAGUCAACAUCAAUUUCUUUUGCUGUAAAAAAGCUUGAGGAAGGUGGCUUGAGAUUCGUCUUAAGUGUUUAUAGCCUCUUGCCUAUGCAGUCGGAGAGAUUGAGGUCUGCAGCGUAGAUCCUUCGGGGCUAAAUGCAUUUGUGCUAAGUUAUAGCAUUUUAUAGACAACUUGUUGACUAUGAUUUGUCUUGUAGCUUACUCGCUUAUGUUAUUUUACCUACGCUUAGGAUGUUGAGUAGCGACAUACGCAC